Molecule: ribosomal RNA, 497 nt
Filed under: uncultured bacterium
Lineage: Bacteria
Description: partial 16S ribosomal RNA
Rfam family: Bacterial small subunit ribosomal RNA
Source: RNAcentral
GAUGAACGCUGGCGGCGUGCCUAAUACAUGCAAGUCGAGCGAACAGAUGAGGAGCUUGCUCCUCUGACGUUAGCGGCGGACGGGUGAGUAACACGUGGAUAACCUACCUAUAAGACUGGGAUAACUUCGGGAAACCGGAGCUAAUACCGGAUAAUAUAUUGAACCGCAUGGUUCAAUAGUGAAAGACGGUUUUGCUGUCACUUAUAGAUGGAUCCGCGCCGCAUUAGCUAGUUGGUAAGGUAACGGCUUACCAAGGCAACGAUGCGUAGCCGACCUGAGAGGGGGAUCGGCCACACUGGAACGGAGACACGGUCCAGACUCCUACGGGAGGCAGCAGUAGGGAAUAUUCCGCAAUGGGCGAAAGCCGGACGGAGCAACGCCGCGGGAGUGAUGAAGGUCUUGGGAUCGUAAAACUCUGUUAUUAGGGAAGAACAAAUAUGUAAGUAACUAGGCACGUCUUGACGGUACCUAAUCAGAAAGCCACGGCUAACUACGUG